AUACGUAGGUGGCAAGCGUUGUCCGGAAUUAUUGGGCGUAAAGCGCAUGUAGGCGGUAAUUUAAGUCUGUCGUGAAACUGCGGGGCUCAGCCCCGUAUGGCGAUGGAAACUGGGUUACUUGAGUGCAGGAGAGGAAAGGGGAACUCCCAGUGGAGCGGUGAAAUGCGUAGAUAUUGGGAAGAACACCGGUGGCGAAGGCGCCUUUCUGGACUGUGUCUGACGCUGAGAUGCGAAAGCCAGGGUAGCGAACGGGAUUAGAUACCCCGGUAGUCCUGGCCGUAAACGAUGGGUACUAGGUGUGGGAGGUAUCGACCCCUUCCGUGCCGGAGUUAACGCAAUAAGUACCCCGCCUGGGGAGUACGGCCGCAAGGCUUAAACUCAAAGGAAUUGACGGGG
This 396-nucleotide ribosomal RNA is filed under the name uncultured bacterium. Its description in RNAcentral is "partial 16S ribosomal RNA". It matches the Rfam family "Bacterial small subunit ribosomal RNA", at positions 523 to 918 of the family's 1533-position model. The record is from RNAcentral.